This 259-nucleotide ribosomal RNA is filed under the name uncultured bacterium. RNAcentral's name for it is "partial 16S ribosomal RNA". It matches the Rfam family "Bacterial small subunit ribosomal RNA", at positions 524 to 778 of the family's 1533-position model. The record is from RNAcentral.
UACAGAGGUGCCGAGCGUUAGGCGGAAUCACUGGGCUUAAAGCGUGUGUAGGCGGAUGCCUAAGUACCUUGUGAAAUCCCCCGGCUUAACCGGGGAACUGCUUGGUAUACUGGGUGUCUUGAGCCACUUAGGGGCGACCGGAACAAACGGUGGAGCGGUGAAAUGCGUAGAUAUCGUUUGGAACGCCAAUGGUGAAAACAGGUCGCUGGGGAGUGUGCUGGACGCUGAGACACGAAAGCCAGGGGAGCGGAAACGGGGA